AAGGGGACUAUAUUUGAUUGAAAUAUUGAUUCAUUCCCUUUUCCGGUAAUUCCCGCGCAUUUCAUAUGUCCUACUUUCUAGCACAAGUCAUGUUAAAAUUUACGGAAAUUUUUGACAUGACCCUUGCUAAAAGUGGACAUAUGGAGCGUCUGAAAUUUACCGGAACGGAAAUGAAUCAACAUUCCAGUAAAACAUAGGCCACUCGAACAUUCCGGCAAAACUUAUAAGCUGCUAAGAGUGUUGGAUCUAAAAGAUUGCAAAACAAUAUUGUUGAACGGAGGAUCUUAGUGACCUGAAAUUGUACUAUUGUAGCCUGCAGCUAAAUAUCGACCUUAGUAAGCUAACAAUGCGCAACAUGUCAAUUAACAAUCUAAUAUAUCAGAACCUGCACAAGUUAUGACGCCUCGGUUUAAUCGUACGCUAAUCAUAUACACAAAUGCGUACGAUCAAACUUAAGGACUCACGGAAAGAUAUCACAGCAAAACUCUAGACACAAAAUAAAACAUACAAGCUUCAUAUUACAGGCCAGGGGCCUCGAGGGCUAGAAUACAGAAGCUCGAUAACACACGAGUCAGCGGAAGCAACAAUAUAUGAGUACAAACAUUAAACAUGGGGUGCCUUAUAGAAGGCUAGCACACAAAAAACACGAUCGAACGAGGCGAGGCCUCCUGCCUGAGAACCUCAUAAC
RNAcentral lists this long non-coding RNA (688 nucleotides) under Hordeum vulgare. Its description in RNAcentral is "long non-coding RNA (HVUL_LNC012543)". The record is from RNAcentral. Lineage: Eukaryota; Viridiplantae; Streptophyta; Magnoliopsida; Poales; Poaceae.